RNAcentral lists this small RNA (553 nucleotides) under Pongo abelii (Sumatran orangutan). Its description in RNAcentral is "processed transcript". The record is from RNAcentral. Lineage: Eukaryota; Metazoa; Chordata; Mammalia; Primates; Hominidae.
AUGCGGGAGGGGCAGCAGCCGGCCGGGCCUGGGAACGUGGCUGGUUGGAGGAGGUGGAUCACCGUUUCUGCGGUGGACGAUUUCGUCGGUGGCUGCUACCAUGAGGUUGAAUCAGAACACCUUGCUGCUGGGGAAGAAGGUGGUCCUUGUACCCUACACCUCGGAGCAUGUGCCCAGCAGGUACCACGAGUGGAUGAAAUCAGAGGAGCUGCAGCGUUUGACAGCCUCAGAGCCGCUGACCCUGGAGCAGGAGUAUGCCAUGCAGCGCAGCUGGCGGGAAGAUGCAGACAAGUGUACCUUCAUUGUGCUGGAUGCCGAGAAGUGGCAGGCCCAGCCAGGCACCACUGAAGAGAGCUGCAUGGUGGGAGAUGUGAACCUCUUCCUCACGGAUCUAGAAGACCCCACCUUGGGGGAGAUCGAGGUCAUGAUUGCAGAAUGGUAAUGAUAGUAGCAACUUCAGUUGUUGAGAAUUAAAUGAGAUGGUGUCUGUCAAGUGCCCACACUGGAGCCUGGCACAUGGCGUCAGUACCGCUCCUGUUGUCUCUCCUAGAGC